RNAcentral lists this ribosomal RNA (1331 nucleotides) under human gut metagenome. RNAcentral's name for it is "bacterial LSU rRNA". It matches the Rfam family "Bacterial large subunit ribosomal RNA", at positions 975 to 2303 of the family's 2925-position model. The record is from RNAcentral.
GCACGGGAGACAGAGCACCGGGUGCUAACGUCCGGACUCAAAAGGGAAACAACCCAGACCGCCGGCUAAGGUCCCAAAUAACAGCUAAGUGGAAAACGAAGUGGAAAGGCCGUGACAACCAGGAAGUUGGCUUAGAAGCAGCCAUCCUUCAAAGAAAGCGUAAUAGCUCACUGGUCGAGUCCUUCUGCGCGGAAGAUGUAACGGGGCUAAGCUGUUAACCGAAGCCGCGGAUGCACUGGUUAUCCAGUGCGUGGUAGGGGAGCGUUCUGUAAGUCUGCGAAGGCGGUUCGAGAGGACUGCUGGAGAUAUCAGAAGUGCGAAUGCUGACAUGAGUAACGUUAAAGCAGGUGAAAAGCCUGCUCGCCGUAAGCCCAAGGAUUCCUGCUCUACGUUCAUCGGAGCAGGGUGAGUCGGCUCCUAAGGUCAGGCCGAAAGGCGUAGCCGAUGGGAAUCAGGUUAAUAUUCCUGAACCUGCGUCAGAUGCGAUGGGGGGACGGAGCAUGGAAGAUCAUCCGGGUGUUGGAAGUCCCGGUUGUUGAGCGUAGGAGGUCUGCAGGCAAAUCCGCAGACGCAUCUCCAAGGCAAAGACACGUGCCGCCACGGCGGCGAAGUGAUCGGAAGUGCUUCCAAGAAAAGCCUCUAAGCCCCAGUCUGAUGCGGACCGUACCGCAAACCGACACUGGUGGGCGAGCUGAAUAUGCUCAGGCGCUUGAGAGAACUCGGGAGAAGGAACUCGGCAAAUUGACACCGUAACUUCGGAAGAAGGUGUGCCGUAGUACCGUGAGAGGAGAGACACCUUGAGCGGGAAACGGUCUCAGAGAAUAGGUGGCUGCGACUGUUUAUUAAAAACACAGCACUCUGCAAAGUCGAAAGACGACGUAUAGGGUGUGAUGCCUGCCCGGUGCUGGAAGAUUAAUUGAUGGGGUGAGAGCCCUUGAUCGAAGUCCCAGUAAACGGCGGCCGUAACUAUAACGGUCCUAAGGUAGCGAAAUUCCUUGUCGGGUAAGUUCCGACCUGCACGAAUGGCAUAACGAUGGCCACACUGUCUCCUCCCGAGACUCAGUGAAGUUGAAAUGUUUGUGAUGAUGCAAUCUACCCGCGGCUAGACGGAAAGACCCCAUGAACCUUUACUGCAGCUUUGCAUUGAACUGUGAACCGAUUUGUGUAGGAUAGGUGGGAGGCAGAGAAAGCGCCACGCCAGUGGUCUUGGAGCCGACCUUGAAAUACCACCCUGAUUUGUUUGCGGUUCUAACCACGGACAGUGAUCCGUGUCUUGGGACCGUGCAUGGUAGGCAGUUUGACUGGGGCGGUCUCCUCCUAAAGGGUAACGG